UCCGGGCCAGAGAGCGAAUCCUCAGGGCCCGCAGGCACGCUCAGAAGAGCUCCUCCCCGAGGCGGAAGCGGCCCGGGGGCGUGUCCGAGGAUAGGCCACGCCCCUCUGUCAACUCCAGAAGCCGGAACCGCCCGGGCCAGGGAAGAGCCGAAGCCUGAAGAAUGAGUAUGAGUUUGCCAGAGAAUGGGGAAGAGGAGUGUGAGCAGAGAGAAAAAGAGUGAAGUGAGUCAUUAAGUCUGGUCCGGGUUGAAGAGGAGGGAUAACUCCACGUCAGGAAGGGAAGGAACAAAUCAUGUACAUCUCUGAAGACUACAAAAUCUACUUAAGUAUUAUUUUGUGCAUUUCAAAAAAGUAGAUGUGGCCAUGUGCCGGAAAUCUGGCCAGUGGAAUUAUGGACAAUUCUCCAUGCUCUUUUUUCCUUCUAUUGCAACUUUGGAAGCAUUGUGUUCAGUCAAAAUAGAGACACAAGGUGGAAGGAGGUUGGUUCCUUGAAUCAUCACUUAGGGGAGAAUAAUUUAUUGAUCAGUGAUGAAUCCUGUUUUGGAUUUCAUAAGUAAAAAAUAAACUUAUUAGGCAUUUGAGAUGUUAGCAUAAACUAUGCUGGCAUAAUUCACUCAUACAAUGGGAUUGUAGGAGACUUUUACUUUCUAUAGUAGGAAGUGCUUGCAUUUUGUGGAACUUUGUAUUGCAUCAAUAUUUAACCUUGUACGUGACAUAUAUUUUUUUAAAAAUUAAUGUUUCAUAAUUUAUAAUUAGCUCUAUCUCCUUGUUCUCUGAGUAAUCCUUUC
This is a long non-coding RNA of Talpa occidentalis (Iberian mole), 788 nucleotides long. RefSeq lists it as uncharacterized. Lineage: Eukaryota; Metazoa; Chordata; Mammalia; Eulipotyphla; Talpidae. The record is from RefSeq and is a predicted model, not a curated record. The transcript has 4 exons.